UACGGAGGGUGCAAGCGUUGUUCGGAAUUACUGGGCGUAAAGCGCGUGUAGGCGGCCUUUUAAGUCUGAUGUGAAAGCCCGGGGCUCACCCCCGGAAGUGCAUCGGAUACUGGGAGGCUCGAGUACCGGAGAGGAGGGUGGAAUUCCUGGUGUAGCGGUGAAAUGCGUAGAUAUCAGGAGGAACACCGGUGGCGAAGGCGGCCCUCUGGACGGAUACUGACGCUGAGACGCGAAAGCGUGGGGAGCAAACAGG
This 253-nucleotide ribosomal RNA is filed under the name uncultured bacterium. Its description in RNAcentral is "partial 16S ribosomal RNA". It matches the Rfam family "Bacterial small subunit ribosomal RNA", at positions 524 to 776 of the family's 1533-position model. The record is from RNAcentral.